Molecule: ribosomal RNA, 310 nt
Filed under: Streptococcus agalactiae
Lineage: Bacteria; Bacillati; Bacillota; Bacilli; Lactobacillales; Streptococcaceae
Description: partial 16S ribosomal RNA
Rfam family: Bacterial small subunit ribosomal RNA
Source: RNAcentral
GGUUGGUACAACGAGUCGCAAGCCGGUGACGGCAAGCUAAUCUCUUAAAGCCAAUCUCAGUUCGGAUUGUAGGCUGCAACUCGCCUACAUGAAGUCGGAAUCGCUAGUAAUCGCGGAUCAGCACGCCGCGGUGAAUACGUUCCCGGGCCUUGUACACACCGCCCGUCACACCACGAGAGUUUGUAACACCCGAAGUCGGUGAGGUAACCUUUUAGGAGCCAGCCGCCUAAGGUGGGAUAGAUGAUUGGGGUGAAGUCGUAACAAGGUAGCCGUAUCGGAAGGUGCGGCUGGAUCACCUCCUUUCUAAGGA